CCUACGGGUGGCAGCAGUGAGGAAUAUUGGUCAAUGGGCGCGAGCCUGAACCAGCCAAGUAGCGUGAAGGAUGACUGCCCUACGGGUUGUAAACUUCUUUUAUAAAGGAAUAAAGUGAGGCACGUGUGCCUUUUUGUAUGUACUUUAUGAAAAAGCAUCGGCUAACUCCGUGCCAGCAGCCGCGGUAAUACGGGGGAUGCGAGCGUUAUCCGGAUUUAUUGGGUUUAAAGGGUGCGUAGGCGGUGUGUCAAGUCAGCGGUAAAAUUUCGGGGCUCAGCCCCGUCGUGCCGUUGAAACUGACGACCUUGAGUGAGUGAGAGGGAAGCGGAAUGCGUGGUGUAGCGGUGAAAUGCAUAGAUAUCACGCAGAACGCCGGUUGCGAAGGCAGCUUACCGGCGCUCAACUGACGCUGAGGCACGAAAGUGCGGGUAUCGAACAGGAUUAGAUACCCGUGUAGUC
RNAcentral lists this ribosomal RNA (459 nucleotides) under uncultured bacterium. Its description in RNAcentral is "partial 16S ribosomal RNA". It matches the Rfam family "Bacterial small subunit ribosomal RNA", at positions 338 to 795 of the family's 1533-position model. The record is from RNAcentral.